UGAUUGACGGCUCUCGCGCAUUAUGGA
This 27-nucleotide small RNA is filed under the name Bombyx mori (domestic silkworm). RNAcentral's name for it is "ovarian small RNA-33090". The record is from RNAcentral. Lineage: Eukaryota; Metazoa; Arthropoda; Insecta; Lepidoptera; Bombycidae.